Non-coding RNA from Ceratotherium simum simum (southern white rhinoceros), 504 nucleotides. The record is from RefSeq and is a predicted model, not a curated record. Lineage: Eukaryota; Metazoa; Chordata; Mammalia; Perissodactyla; Rhinocerotidae.
GCGCAGCUUCCCUCCACCCCAGGAAGGGAGGAGCUGGCCUUGACUCAGCACCCACUUGCUUGUGUAAGCUCUUUCUUAGCCAUUAUCUCAGUUAAUCUUCCAGCAGUCCUGAAAACUGGCGAUACUGUCCCCACUUUACAAAGGCAGAAUCUGAGCCCCAAGAAGGACAUACCAAAAGAAGAACAUACUUUACCUGGUUGGCCUGGGUUCCCUCUGAGAAGCCUUCCUGGAUUGACUAAAAGAUGAAGCUAAACUCUAGCCAGUUGACCGGCUCUGCCAAAAAGCCUUUGAGCAGGAUGGAAGUAGGCAGGCCCUAGCCUCCAGCCUAGGCAGCCCAUUACGCCUGGAGCCACCUGGGAUAAGAUUUUGCUUCACCAUUUCUCCCGUGUCCACAAGCUGUCCGUCCUGGCCCAUCUUGGUUUCUCCUGUGUCGUCUGAGCUGAGAUUCUCUGAGAUGGAAGACCCAUCUCAUGCCUAAUAAAGACUCUUGAAUACUGAACAACA